RNAcentral lists this transfer RNA (84 nucleotides) under Deltaproteobacteria bacterium RIFOXYA12_FULL_61_11. RNAcentral describes it as "tRNA-Leu". It matches the Rfam family "tRNA". Rfam says of the family: Transfer RNA (tRNA) molecules are approximately 80 nucleotides in length. Their secondary structure includes four short double-helical elements and three loops (D, anti-codon, and T loops). The record is from RNAcentral. Lineage: Bacteria; Deltaproteobacteria.
GCCUGAGUGAUGGAAUUGGUAGACGUGCUGGACUCAAAAUCCAGUGGGGGCAACCCCGUGUCGGUUCGACUCCGACCUCAGGCA